AUGCUUUGUCGGUACAUAUACUAUGAUCGGAAUGAUGCGGAGAAAAUUAGCAUGACCCCUGCACAAUGAUAACAAGCAAACUCAUGAAAGAUUUUACAUCUUC
Oryctolagus cuniculus (rabbit) is the source of this 103-nucleotide small nuclear RNA. Lineage: Eukaryota; Metazoa; Chordata; Mammalia; Lagomorpha; Leporidae. The record is from Ensembl.